AUUGAACGCUGGCGGCAGGCUUAACACAUGCAAGUCGAGCGAGCGGCGGAUGGGUGAGUAAGGUCUGGGACACUGCCUGAGGGAGGGGGUUAACUACUGGAAACGGUAGCUAAUACCGCAUACCAUCAGAUGUGCCCAGAUGGGAUUAGCUAGGUGGUGGGGUAAUGGCGCACCUAGGCGACGAUCCCUAGCUGGUCUGAGAGGAUGACCAGCCACACUGGAACUGAGACACGGUCCAGACUCCUACGGGAGGCAGCAGUGGGGAAUAUUGCACAAUGGGCGCAAGCCUGAUGCAGCCAUGCCGCGUGUGUGAAGAAGGCCUUCGGGUUGUAAAGCACUUUCAGCGAGGAGGCGUUACUCGCAGAAUAAGCACCGGCUAACUCCGUGCCAGCAGCCGCGGUAAUUC
RNAcentral lists this ribosomal RNA (406 nucleotides) under uncultured bacterium. Its description in RNAcentral is "partial 16S ribosomal RNA". It matches the Rfam family "Bacterial small subunit ribosomal RNA", at positions 30 to 526 of the family's 1533-position model. The record is from RNAcentral.